RNAcentral lists this ribosomal RNA (1357 nucleotides) under uncultured bacterium. RNAcentral describes it as "bacterial SSU rRNA". It matches the Rfam family "Bacterial small subunit ribosomal RNA", at positions 29 to 1394 of the family's 1533-position model. The record is from RNAcentral.
AUGAACGCUGGCGGCGUGCUUAACACAUGCAAGUCGAACGAUGAAGCCCAGCUUGCUGGGUGGAUUAGUGGCGAACGGGUGAGUAACACGUGAGUAACCUGCCCCUGACUCUGGGAUAAGCCCGGGAAACUGGGUCUAAUACUGGAUAUGACCUGUCACCGCAUGGUGGUGGGUGGAAAGAUUUUUUGGUUGGGGAUGGACUCGCGGCCUAUCAGCUUGUUGGUGAGGUAGUGGCUCACCAAGGCGACGACGGGUAGCCGGCCUGAGAGGGUGACCGGCCACACUGGGACUGAGACACGGCCCAGACUCCUACGGGAGGCAGCAGUGGGGAAUAUUGCACAAUGGGCGCAAGCCUGAUGCAGCGACGCCGCGUGAGGGAUGACGGCCUUCGGGUUGUAAACCUCUUUCAGUAGGGAAGAAGCCUUUUGGGUGACGGUACCUGCAGAAGAAGCGCCGGCUAACUACGUGCCAGCAGCCGCGGUAAUACGUAGGGCGCAAGCGUUAUCCGGAUUUAUUGGGCGUAAAGAGCUCGUAGGCGGUUUGUCGCGUCUGCCGUGAAAGUCCGGGGCUUAACUCCGGAUCUGCGGUGGGUACGGGCAGACUAGAGUGCAGUAGGGGAGACUGGAAUUCCUGGUGUAGCGGUGAAAUGCGCAGAUAUCAGGAGGAACACCGAUGGCGAAGGCAGGUCUCUGGGCUGUAACUGACGCUGAGGAGCGAAAGCAUGGGGAGCGAACAGGAUUAGAUACCCUGGUAGUCCAUGCCGUAAACGUUGGGCACUAGGUGUGGGGGACAUUCCACGUUUUCCGCGCCGUAGCUAACGCAUUAAGUGCCCCGCCUGGGGAGUACGGCCGCAAGGCUAAAACUCAAAGGAAUUGACGGGGGCCCGCACAAGCGGCGGAGCAUGCGGAUUAAUUCGAUGCAACGCGAAGAACCUUACCAAGGCUUGACAUGGACUGGAUCGCCGCAGAGAUGUGGUUUCCCUUCGGGGCUGGUUCACAGGUGGUGCAUGGUUGUCGUCAGCUCGUGUCGUGAGAUGUUGGGUUAAGUCCCGCAACGAGCGCAACCCUCGUUCCAUGUUGCCAGCGGGUUAUGCCGGGGACUCAUGGGAGACUGCCGGGGUCAACUCGGAGGAAGGUGAGGACGACGUCAAAUCAUCAUGCCCCUUAUGUCUUGGGCUUCACGCAUGCUACAAUGGCCGGUACAAAGGGUUGCGAUACUGUGAGGUGGAGCUAAUCCCAAAAAGCCGGUCUCAGUUCGGAUUGGGGUCUGCAACUCGACCCCAUGAAGUCGGAGUCGCUAGUAAUCGCAGAUCAGCAACGCUGCGGUGAAUACGUUCCCGGGCCUUGUACACACCGCC